CAGAAUAAAUAAGAAAAGUAAAAUUACAUUAGAGAACUAAAAUUACAACCAAGGAGAGCAUGAUUCAGACUUCCUGUCUGAAACAUGAAAUAAACCAAUCUCCAAAGAUCAUAUUCCAAAGCCUUUAUCUUAUUUGGGAUGUGUUAGAGUUCCUAAGAGUUCGAAAUGGACUCCGCACAGUGCUCACGCCCAAAUGUAUUAUAGAAUUGAAUCAUACUGCAAUGCAGAAGAGCCAGCCCUUGAAUGUCUAAGUUCAGAGGGAACUUAAGGUCCCAAAGCAACACUCAUAGGAGGGGACAGAACUUAGAAGCUAGGAGAGAGUGUAAGUGCAAAGAGGGAAUUCUGGGGGAAGCAGAGAUAGGCUGGUGGUCAUACCCAGCAAUUAGAUGUUCUGGCACACCCCAACCAGCAUGUUAGCCAUAUUGUUUGGGAGUUAGAAUCUAUUAUAGGAUCAAGUCCAGACAUGAGCAACUACUUGGAUGUUGCCAUGUUCUAAACUUUAACUCAAACACAUGGAAGGGAAUAAGGGUACAUAGAUGCACAUCAGAAACAGAUGCAAAGAGAACAUCAUACAUAUUUAACACUGAGCAUAGAUAGCAAAGUAGACGGGAUUGCAGAAGUUUUAACAUAAACAGAUUAGGAUGAGGCUGAAAACUAAAUUAGAACAUACCAGUUUCAGGGAAACAAGAAAAGAAAGUAGUAGUCUUGUAAAUCCAAAUAGCAAGCAAAUAAUCAGAAGAUUUUAGAAGAGAGCUACGAGAUUAUGUGUGUAAAAGUGUUUAAUUGAGAGUUGUGUAAUUGAAAGUGUCUGAAAAGAGUCAAAUUCAAGGUGUGUUGGUGAGAAAGAAGUUGUGUCCUUUUUAUAGUGUAGAAGGCAAGCAGAAUAAGGUAGGAUAAUAAUUUAAAAAAUCAGUUGUCAAUCAAUUACACAAGUUUCCCUUUAGUUAAGGGAUUCUGAUUUCAAAUGGGCAAAAUAGUUAAGGAAAGAGGUUGAUCAAACACUUUUCCAAAGCAACACAAGAAGGGUAAAUACACAGAGAUUUAUUUAUGGAAGAAGUCUGAUAGCACACAGUUUGUGCAAAUAAGGAAAGACAAUCAAUCAACAACCAGUAAAAUCAAAAAUUGAAGAUUUCAUGUGAAUCAACAAGGUCAGGAAGAUGGGAAAGAUCUUGACUUAAGGAAAAUCAGUACUAAUAAAUUAAAUCUAAGAAAAAGGAUUCUGAAUCUUAAGCACGAAAAACUAUUGUGCUAAUCAGUAGAAGAAUAUAAAAGUUCAGAGUCGUAAACAAAGAGAUUCAAACUCAGCUCAUAGACUCAGAAUGAGUCUGCAAGAGUUCCAAAAUAGAACCCUGGUCCAAGCACAAGGAAAAACCCCUAAAUCCUAGUAUUUCCAUUUUGAAUCAGAUACAGAGACAAUGAGACAAGUAAUUGAAACAUGCUCAAAGAUCUUUUUCAGAGACUUAUGAGGAAACAAACAAAUAUAAUAGUAGGUUUGAAACAACAGAGUGAAUAAACUCAUUCGAAGCAUAGCGAGAGUAGGAGGCACAUGUUUAAGAAAAAGCUGGGACUUAAACAGGGUUCAGAAGAGAAAAGAGAUAGUGUAGCAUUUAAGAAAACACUAGAAGAAACAUGUUAAAGGGAACUCAAAUAAAGGUCCAGUAAAUGGCAAACAAAGAACUUAAGAACUCAGUAGGGAAACAUACAGUAGGAGAACAAAAACUACGGGAAAAGUAUAUCAACAAGACAUAUCGGAAAAACACAAC
RNAcentral lists this long non-coding RNA (1763 nucleotides) under Nicotiana benthamiana. RNAcentral's name for it is "long non-coding RNA (NBEN_LNC023115)". Lineage: Eukaryota; Viridiplantae; Streptophyta; Magnoliopsida; Solanales; Solanaceae. The record is from RNAcentral.